RNAcentral lists this transfer RNA (73 nucleotides) under Planctomycetaceae bacterium. Its description in RNAcentral is "tRNA-Pro". It matches the Rfam family "tRNA". Rfam says of the family: Transfer RNA (tRNA) molecules are approximately 80 nucleotides in length. Their secondary structure includes four short double-helical elements and three loops (D, anti-codon, and T loops). Further hydrogen bonds mediate the characteristic L-shaped molecular structure. tRNAs have two regions of fundamental functional importance: the anti-codon, which is responsible for specific mRNA codon recognition, and the 3' end, to which the tRNAs corresponding amino acid is attached (by aminoacyl-tRNA synthetases). tRNAs cope with the degeneracy of the genetic code in two manners: having more than one tRNA (with a specific anti-codon) for a particular amino acid; and 'wobble' base-pairing, i.e. permitting non-standard base-pairing at the 3rd anti-codon position. Lineage: Bacteria; Pseudomonadati; Planctomycetota; Planctomycetia; Planctomycetales; Planctomycetaceae. The record is from RNAcentral.
CGGGACGUCGGGUAGCGGCUAACCCGCGUGCCUUGGGAGCACGAGAUCGUGGGUUCGAGUCCCACCGUCCCGA